This 276-nucleotide ribosomal RNA is filed under the name uncultured bacterium. Its description in RNAcentral is "partial 16S ribosomal RNA". It matches the Rfam family "Bacterial small subunit ribosomal RNA", at positions 399 to 691 of the family's 1533-position model. The record is from RNAcentral.
GCGUGAGUGAUGAAGGCCUUAGGGUUGUAAAGCUCUUUCGGCGGGGACGAUGAUGACGGUACCCGCAGAAGAAGCCCCGGCUAACUCCGUGCCAGCAGCCGCGGUAAUACGGAGGGGGCUAGCGUUGUUCGGAAUUACUGGGCGUAAAGGGCGCGUAGGCGGUUCAUCAAGUCGGGCGUGAAAGGCCUGGGCUCAACCCGGGAAUGGCGCUCGAGACUGGUGGGCUUGGAGUCCGGGAGAGGAUGGUGGAAUUCCCAGUGUAGAGGUGAAAUUCGU